Molecule: ribosomal RNA, 426 nt
Filed under: uncultured bacterium
Lineage: Bacteria
Description: partial 16S ribosomal RNA
Rfam family: Bacterial small subunit ribosomal RNA
Source: RNAcentral
GUGAGGAAUUUUCCGCAAUGGGCGAAAGCCUGACGGAGCAAUGCCGCGUGAAGGAUGAAGGCCUAUGGGUUGUAAACUUCUUUUCUCAGAAAAGAAUUAUGACGGUAUCUGAGGAAUAAGCAUCGGCUAACUCUGUGCCAGCAGCCGCGGUAAGACAGAGGAUGCAAGCGUUACCCGGAAUGAUUGGGCGUAAAGCGUCUGUAGGUUGUUUAAAAAGUAUUCUGUAAAAGAUUAGGGCUUAAACCUAGAUAGGCAGAAUAAACUUUUAAGAUAGAGUUUGGUAGAAGCAGAGUGAAUGACCGGUGGAGCGGUGAAAUGCGUAGAUAUCGGGAGGAACACCAAAGGCGAAGGCACUCUGCUGGGCCAAUACUAACACUGAGAGACGAAAGCGAGGGGAGCAAAUGGGAUUAGAUACCCUAGUAGUCC